GCCCCUGUGGCGCAAUGGACUAGCGUGUUGGACUUUUAAUUCAAAGGUUGUGGGUUCGAGUUUCACCAGGGGUG
Nematostella vectensis (starlet sea anemone) is the source of this 74-nucleotide non-coding RNA. The record is from Rfam. NCBI's taxonomy places the organism in Eukaryota, Metazoa, Cnidaria, Anthozoa, Actiniaria, Edwardsiidae.